AAAGAGAGCAGCUCAGCGUCGAGUCUCACGUCUGGGUUUGUCAGCAGAAAGAGAGCAGCUCAGCGUUGAGUCUCACGUCUGGGUUUGUCAGCAGAAAGAGAGCAGCUCAGCGUCGAGUCACACGUCUGUGUUUUUUUCAGCAGGAGACGACUUGGGUGUACAGGUCCUGCCCUUGGAAAAGCUGAUCUGGACUGUCUCAUUGGACCGCCAAGGUCUGCCAGCCGGAACGUUCCAGAAUGUUUGUGAACGAUAGCUGGACACGUACUCACACACAUUGACUGUAGGUUUCCGACCCGUUGAAGAAUCCGGGCUCCCACUGUCUCGUCGUUGUAGGGUGGUACAGUAUGUGUGACAGCUGAACCCACCUGCCUGGACCUGGGUUCACUCCAAAUGGAACCCUACUUCCUACACAGUGACCUACUAUUGACAAGGAAGGGCCCAGUGAGCUGCACAGUUACAUGACAGCUGAACCCACCUGCCUGGACCUGGGUUCACUCCAAAUGGAACCCUACUUCCUACACAGUGACCUACUAUUGACAAGGAAGGGCCCAGUGAGCUGCACAGUUACAUGGCACACCACUGCUUCCCGUGUCAUCGGUGGUCAUCCGGCGUACACUGCGAGGCGCCUCCUGAGUGUUCAACCGCAGGGAAGGGGUUUCCUGAUGGAUGCGCCCACAGGGGAGGUGCUGGGUCCCCUGCUCGAGACAUCCUGGACCCAGCCCUCAUCGCCGACUUCCACUGCCGGCAACCGGGGCAACCAGGUACGCACCCAGGUAGGAUGCCAGGUGAUUGAUGAUCUAAGUAAGUGAUCUAAGUGAUUGUCUCUACCCCCCUCCAGGUGUUGCCCAUCUCCCCCCAUUAUCCCCUGUGUAUGUAUACCUGUGUUUUCUGUCUGUUCAGUUAACCAAUGUUUUUUUCUCAGCUUCUGCUUUUCCCCAGUCUCUUCUUUUUCUCGCCCUUCUGGUUUUGACCUUUGCCUGUCUUGUCUCUGAGCCCACCUGCCUGACCACUGCCUGUCCUGACCCUGAGCCCACCUGCCUGACCACUGCCUGUCCUGUCUCUGAGCCCACCUGCCUGACCACUGCCUGUCCUGUCUCUGAGCCCACCUGCCUGACCACUGCCUGUCCUGUCUCUGAGCCCACCUGCCGGAUCACUGCCUGUCCUGUCUCUGAGCCCACCUGCCUGACCACUGCCUGCCCUGACCCUAAGCCCACCUGCACGACCUUUGCCUGACCCUGAGCCCGCCUACCGUCCUGUACCUUUCCCCGACUACUCUGGACUAUUGAUCCCUGACUGCCUUGACCUGUCUAUUACCUGCCCCUGUGGGAUAAUUAAACUAUUGUUUAUUCAACGUGGUCUGCAU
Long non-coding RNA from Oncorhynchus tshawytscha (Chinook salmon), 1363 nucleotides. The record is from Ensembl. NCBI's taxonomy places the organism in Eukaryota, Metazoa, Chordata, Actinopteri, Salmoniformes, Salmonidae.